This 815-nucleotide ribosomal RNA is filed under the name Haloferax prahovense. RNAcentral's name for it is "bacterial SSU rRNA". It matches the Rfam family "Archaeal small subunit ribosomal RNA", at positions 47 to 866 of the family's 1478-position model. The record is from RNAcentral. Lineage: Archaea; Methanobacteriati; Methanobacteriota; Halobacteria; Halobacteriales; Haloferacaceae.
AGCAUGCUAGUUGCACGAGUUCAUACUCGUGGCGAAAGCUCAGUAACACGUCGGCCAACUACCCUACAGAGAACGAUAACCUCGGGAAACUGAGGCUAAUAGUUCAUACGGGAGUCAUGCUGGAAUGCCGACUCCCCGAAACGCUCAGGCGCUGUAGGAUGUGGCUGCGGCCGAUUAGGUAGACGGUGGGGUAACGGCCCACCGUGCCGAUAAUCGGUACGGGUUGUGAGAGCAAGAGCCCGGAGACGGAAUCUGAGACAAGAUUCCGGGCCCUACGGGGCGCAGCAGGCGCGAAACCUUUACACUGCACGCAAGUGCGAUAAGGGGACCCCAAGUGCGAGGGCAUAUAGUCCUCGCUUUUCUCGACUGUAAGGCGGUCGAGGAAUAAGAGCUGGGCAAGACCGGUGCCAGCCGCCGCGGUAAUACCGGCAGCUCAAGUGAUGACCGAUAUUAUUGGGCCUAAAGCGUCCGUAGCCGGCCACGAAGGUUCAUCGGGAAAUCCGCCAGCUCAACUGGCGGGCGUCCGGUGAAAACCACGUGGCUUGGGACCGGAAGGCUCGAGGGGUACGUCCGGGGUAGGAGUGAAAUCCCGUAAUCCUGGACGGACCACCGAUGGCGAAAGCACCUCGAGAAGACGGAUCCGACGGUGAGGGACGAAAGCUAGGGUCUCGAACCGGAUUAGAUACCCGGGUAGUCCUAGCUGUAAACGAUGCUCGCUAGGUGUGACACAGGCUACGAGCCUGUGUUGUGCCGUAGGGAAGCCGAGAAGCGAGCCGCCUGGGAAGUACGUCCGCAAGAUGAAACUUAAAGGAAUU